GAUCAUGGCUCAGAAUGAACGCUGGCGGCAUGGAUUAGGCAUGCAAGUCGAACGAGAAAGCGCCUUCGGGCGCGAGUAAAGUGGCGCAAGGGUGAGUAACACGUGAGGAACCUGCCCCCGAGCCCGGAACAAGCCUGGGAAACCGGGUCUGAAACCGGAUGAGGCCCCCGGCCGCAUGGUCGGCGGGCCAAAUAUUCAUAGCUUGGGGAUGGCCUCGCGUCCCAUUAGCUUGUUGGCGGGGUGACGGCCCACCAAGGCGACGACGGGUAGGUGGUCUGAGAGGAUGGUCACCCACACUGGGACUGAGACACUGCCCAGACUCCUACGGGAGGCUGCAGUCGAGAAUCUUCCGCAAUGGGCGCCAAGCCUGACGGAGCGAUGCCGCGUGAGGGACGAAGGCCCUAGGGUUGUAAACCUCUGUCGUCCGGGACGAAACCAAUGACGGUACCGGGCAAGAAAGCCACGGCUAACUACGUGCCAGCCGCCGC
This 488-nucleotide ribosomal RNA is filed under the name uncultured bacterium. RNAcentral describes it as "bacterial SSU rRNA". It matches the Rfam family "Bacterial small subunit ribosomal RNA", at positions 15 to 518 of the family's 1533-position model. The record is from RNAcentral.